Molecule: long non-coding RNA, 228 nt
Organism: Oncorhynchus keta (chum salmon)
Lineage: Eukaryota; Metazoa; Chordata; Actinopteri; Salmoniformes; Salmonidae
Exons: 3
Source: RefSeq, a predicted model, not a curated record
AGGUGAGGAGGAGCGGAUAGAGGUGAGGAGGAGCGGAUAGAGGUGAGGAGGAGCGGAUAGAGGUGAGGAACAGAUAGAGGUGAGGAGGAGUGGAUAGAGGUGAGGAACAGAUAGAGGUGAGGAGGAGCGGAUAGAGGUGAGGAGGAGCGGAUAGAGGUGAGGAGGAGCGGAUAGAGGUGAGGAACAGAUAGAGGUGAGGAGGAGCGGAUAGAGGUGAGGAGGAGCGGA